UACGAAGGGGGGCUAGCGUUGCUCGGAAUCACUGGGCGUAAAGGGUGCGUAGGCGGGUCUUUAAGUCAGGGGGUGAAAUCCCAGAGCUCAACUCUGGAACUGCCUUUUGAUACUGGCAAGCUAGAGUCCGGAAGAGGUAAAGUGGAACUCCUAAGUGUAGAGGUGGAAUUCGUAGAUAUUAGGAAGAACACCAGUGGCGAAGGCGCUUACUGGUCCGGAACUGACGCUGAGGUGCGAAAGCGUGGGGAUCAAACAGG
This 257-nucleotide ribosomal RNA is filed under the name uncultured bacterium. RNAcentral describes it as "partial 16S ribosomal RNA". It matches the Rfam family "Bacterial small subunit ribosomal RNA", at positions 524 to 776 of the family's 1533-position model. The record is from RNAcentral.